RNAcentral lists this ribosomal RNA (800 nucleotides) under Arthrobacter pascens. Its description in RNAcentral is "bacterial SSU rRNA". It matches the Rfam family "Bacterial small subunit ribosomal RNA", at positions 622 to 1418 of the family's 1533-position model. The record is from RNAcentral. Lineage: Bacteria; Bacillati; Actinomycetota; Actinomycetes; Micrococcales; Micrococcaceae.
UGCGGUGGGUACGGGCAGACUAGAGUGAUGUAGGGGAGACUGGAAUUCCUGGUGUAGCGGUGAAAUGCGCAGAUAUCAGGAGGAACACCGAUGGCGAAGGCAGGUCUCUGGGCAUUAACUGACGCUGAGGAGCGAAAGCAUGGGGAGCGAACAGGAUUAGAUACCCUGGUAGUCCAUGCCGUAAACGUUGGGCACUAGGUGUGGGGGACAUUCCACGUUUUCCGCGCCGUAGCUAACGCAUUAAGUGCCCCGCCUGGGGAGUACGGCCGCAAGGCUAAAACUCAAAGGAAUUGACGGGGGCCCGCACAAGCGGCGGAGCAUGCGGAUUAAUUCGAUGCAACGCGAAGAACCUUACCAAGGCUUGACAUGGACUGGAUCGCCGCAGAAAUGUGGUUUCCCCUUUGGGGCCGGUUCACAGGUGGUGCAUGGUUGUCGUCAGCUCGUGUCGUGAGAUGUUGGGUUAAGUCCCGCAACGAGCGCAACCCUCGUUCUAUGUUGCCAGCGCGUUAUGGCGGGGACUCAUAGGAGACUGCCGGGGUCAACUCGGAGGAAGGUGGGGACGACGUCAAAUCAUCAUGCCCCUUAUGUCUUGGGCUUCACGCAUGCUACAAUGGCCGGUACAAAGGGUUGCGAUACUGUGAGGUGGAGCUAAUCCCAAAAAGCCGGUCUCAGUUCGGAUUGGGGUCUGCAACUCGACCCCAUGAAGUCGGAGUCGCUAGUAAUCGCAGAUCAGCAACGCUGCGGUGAAUACGUUCCCGGGCCUUGUACACACCGCCCGUCAAGUCACGAAAGUUGGUAAC